This 497-nucleotide ribosomal RNA is filed under the name uncultured bacterium. RNAcentral's name for it is "partial 16S ribosomal RNA". It matches the Rfam family "Bacterial small subunit ribosomal RNA", at positions 28 to 507 of the family's 1533-position model. The record is from RNAcentral.
GAUGAACGCUGGCGGCGUGCCUAAUACAUGCAAGUCGAGCGAACGGACGAGAAGCUUGCUUCUCUGAUGUUAGCGGCGGACGGGUGAGUAACACGUGGAUAACCUACCUAUAAGACUGGGAUAACUUCGGGAAACCGGAGCUAAUACCGGAUGAUAUUUUGAACCGCAUGGUUCAAAAGUGAAAGACGGUCUUGCUGUCACUUAUAGAUGGAUCCGCGCUGCAUUAGCUAGUUGGUAAGGUAACGGCUUACCAAGGCAACGAUGCAUAGCCGACCUGAGAGGGUGAUCGGCCACACUGGAACUGAGACACGGUCCAGACUCCUACGGGAGGCAGCAGUGGGGAAUCUUCCGCAAUGGGCGAAAGCCUGACGGAGCAACGCCGCGUGAGUGAUGAAGGUCUUCGGAUCGUAAAACUCUGUUAUUAGGGAGGAACAUAUGUGUAAGUAACUGUGCACAUCUUGACGGUACCUAAUCAGAAAGCCACGGCUAACUACGUG